This 592-nucleotide ribosomal RNA is filed under the name Klebsiella pneumoniae. RNAcentral's name for it is "bacterial SSU rRNA". It matches the Rfam family "Bacterial small subunit ribosomal RNA", at positions 68 to 653 of the family's 1533-position model. Lineage: Bacteria; Pseudomonadati; Pseudomonadota; Gammaproteobacteria; Enterobacterales; Enterobacteriaceae. The record is from RNAcentral.
UAGCACAGAGAGCUUGCUCUCGGGUGACGAGCGGCGGACGGGUGAGUAAUGUCUGGGAAACUGCCUGAUGGAGGGGGAUAACUACUGGAAACGGUAGCUAAUACCGCAUAAUGUCGCAAGACCAAAGUGGGGGACCUUCGGGCCUCAUGCCAUCAGAUGUGCCCAGAUGGGAUUAGCUAGUAGGUGGGGUAACGGCUCACCUAGGCGACGAUCCCUAGCUGGUCUGAGAGGAUGACCAGCCACACUGGAACUGAGACACGGUCCAGACUCCUACGGGAGGCAGCAGUGGGGAAUAUUGCACAAUGGGCGCAAGCCUGAUGCAGCCAUGCCGCGUGUGUGAAGAAGGCCUUCGGGUUGUAAAGCACUUUCAGCGGGGAGGAAGGCGUUGAGGUUAAUAACCUUGUCGAUUGACGUUACCCGCAGAAGAAGCACCGGCUAACUCCGUGCCAGCAGCCGCGGUAAUACGGAGGGUGCAAGCGUUAAUCGGAAUUACUGGGCGUAAAGCGCACGCAGGCGGUCUGUCAAGUCGGAUGUGAAAUCCCCGGGCUCAACCUGGGAACUGCAUUCGAAACUGGCAGGCUAGAGUCUUGUA